AUCUUGAUGAUGAUAAUGGUAAUAGUGUUAGUAGGCAUAAUAAUAAAAAUACUAAUUAUGAUAAGUACAAUGAAAUUUUGAAAGAUAAUAAGGUUGAGAUUAUAAAUGCGCGUAGAAACCAAACAUGUUCAAAAAGAAAAAGAGAAGAUGAUUAUUUUUAUAACUGUAUAAAGAAUUUUGGUUGUACGAACUAUUGUCAAAAUAUAAAUAAUAAUGAUAAUGGGGGUAAAAAUUAUAAUCCUUACGAUGACUAUAAUGAUUGUAAUCAUGAUAAGAUUAGUAGUAGCCAUGAUAGUUGUGCGGUAAGUAGUGCGAUCAGAAGAGAGGACAAUAGCAAGGAUAAUAAUCACAAUAGUGAAAAAGAUAUAAAAUUGAUACAUGAAAUAAUACAUUUAUCUUUUCAAAAUAAUUUAUUAAUGCAAAAGUUAAAAAUAAUGAAGCAAUAUAAAAAUUAUUAUUAUCAAAAUUAUUCAUUACAUAAUUUAUGUGCAAGUUUAUCACCGAUUAAGACACAAGUAAAUAAUAAUAUUUUAGAUGACUGUAGUACACUCAAACAACAUAUAAUUAAUAAUUUGCACAUGCACAUGAAACAAGAACAUAAGUUUGAUUCAUUAAAAAUACUUCAAAAAGAGUGGCGUAAUAAUGAGUAUGUGCAUAUUUAUAAAUAUGAAAAAAUAGCUAAACAGCUGUUGGCUAGUUAUGAAAGUACUUGUCAUGAUCAUAACAGUGCUACUCCUAAUCAUACACCAAUAAAUACGCCUAACCAUUCUAGUGCUACACCUUAUCAUGCACAAAUAGAUACGUCUAACAAUUCUAGCGCUACACCUAACAAAUUCCUAGUGAAUAUAUCUAAUAACGCUAUCAACCAAGAUAAUUAUCGUAAAGAAAAAAAUCAUAUAAAAAAAUUGUUAAUAUUAAAUUUACACAAUAACUUAGCUAAAUCAAUUAGUAAAAAAAUGAUUAUACUUUUAUAUAUAAAACAAAAAUAUAGUAUUUGCUUAGCAAUUAUUGAUAUAAUUUUAAAAAAUAUGCCAGUACAAUCAUCAUUAAGAAAAAGAGUAAAUAUCAUAAUAGAAUUGUUCCAAAAGUAUGAACAGAAACAUAUAAUACAAGAUAUGCAUGAUCUUAAUAAAGCAAAUGGUGAUAUAGAAAAAGAAUUAAAAAAUACUUUAAACACAAUAUGUGAUAUUCUUAUAAAUCUUUAUUUUAAUAAAAUUGAUACAUUUAAGAAAGUAUUAAGUGACAUAUGUACCUUAUUACAAAGUUUAACCUAUGUAUAUAAGUUAGAAGAUUAUAUAUAUAAAAAAUAAAAAGAGUGAAUCAUCUU
This 1327-nucleotide long non-coding RNA is filed under the name Piliocolobus tephrosceles (Ugandan red Colobus). RNAcentral's name for it is "lncRNA (ENSPTEG00000014096.1)". The record is from RNAcentral. Lineage: Eukaryota; Metazoa; Chordata; Mammalia; Primates; Cercopithecidae.